GUGUUGCAUGGAAUGACUAAUGGCCUUCAGUUGGUUCCUGUGUAGAUGGUAACACGGAAAGCUGUUCACAAAACCCCUUUCUAGCAAAGAUGCGUUUCUGCCAAGUCACAUAUGUUGGCCAGAGGUGUGUUGAGGGAAAUUGGCCCUCUUCAGAAAAAUAUAGUCUCCUUGUUCCCGGCCACAUUUUAAUGUUGCCCUGCCUUUUAGCUUAUGAAGCUUCAGGCUCUCUAUACAAAUGCUGUCCGUUUUAAUAGAGUGCUAAUCGCAGUAAUGGGCAGGGCACUUAUGUCUGUAAUCAUCACAUCAACGCCACUUGGCUUAAUCCUUGAAAAUGGACAACAAGCUAUUACUAAACCAUAAAAAUCGCAAAUUGUGUAUGCUGACCUAGAGAUACCUCCAAUCAAUGAGAAGCAGCCUCAGAGCCACCAAAGGCUCUUCAACGUCCAGCUGUCACAACAUUCCCCAAGAACUUCAAAGAUUUUAAAGGCCACCAUUUCCAUGCACAUGUCUCUGGGUAUUGCUGCUGUUUACACUUCGCAGAAGCUGGACACUCAGCCUGUUUGGGGGGGACCCAGGCUAAAGGUUCUGCCCUAGGUGUGAGAUGGAGUUUCCUGAGGUUGCCCAGUCUGGUCUUGAACUUCGGAGCUCAAGUGAUCCUCCCACCUUGGCCUCCCAAAGUGCUAGAAUUACAGGUAGGAGCCACUGCGUCCAGCCUCCUCUUGGCUUAUUCAUAUAACCAGACGGCAUAUGAUCAGGCCUUUCAGUGAGGCCAGAUUGGAGGGGGGCCUCAGUAGCAGCUUGAUAAGGUCCCAAAAGAUACUAAAUGAAAAAAGGACAAUCUAACAUUAGUGGCCUCAGAAUGCAGGGACACCUAUAGCCUACACAAGAAUAAAACAAACCAAGGAAAAACACAACUGGAAUUCCUUUAAAUAAGAAAGCCAGACCCAUAUCAGAAGGCAGACAAUAGAGAUGAAAGAAACUGAAUUCCAAAGACAGACAAAUGGGGAAACACACAAAUAAAAAGGGGAGGGGGUGACCUCAAAGACAACUAACUAGGGUCACAAGGCUGGGGGUUGCAGCUAGACAGAGGAUUGCAAGCAGGUUGGAUAAAUGGGGUGGGCCAGCUGCUCUAUCUUCUAACCGAAGGGCAAGGUAGGGCCUAGUGGAAAAAUAUUGGUCACAAAGUCAAGUCCCAACUGUAACCAUGAUUUGCCUCAUUCAUUCAUUCACUCACUCACUCAUCUGAUAUUUAUGAACACCCACUGUGCACCAGGCACUGUACUGGAAGAUAAGCCAUGGAAUGAGAUAGAU
Molecule: long non-coding RNA, 1311 nt
Filed under: Macaca mulatta (Rhesus monkey)
Lineage: Eukaryota; Metazoa; Chordata; Mammalia; Primates; Cercopithecidae
Description: lncRNA (ENSMMUG00000054761.1)
Source: RNAcentral